Molecule: ribosomal RNA, 383 nt
Filed under: Gammarus aequicauda
Lineage: Eukaryota; Metazoa; Arthropoda; Malacostraca; Amphipoda; Gammaridae
Description: partial 16S ribosomal RNA
Rfam family: Bacterial large subunit ribosomal RNA (bases 79-383)
Source: RNAcentral
UCAUUUGUUGCUUAAUUGGUAACUGGUAUGAAAGGUUGAACUGNNUCCAUUAGUUUGUAAAUUUUAUUAAGAAAUUUAAGUCAAGGUAAGAAUUCUUUGAUUUUCUAGGGGACGAUAAGACCCUAGAAGCUUUAUAUGACGAGUGUCUUUUAGUAAUAGAGGAUAAUGUAAUUGACUGGGGCGGUUUGAGUAGUUGAACUAUUUUGUUUUAAAUUGAUCCUUUAAAUAAAGAUAUUUUGGGUAAGUUACUCUAGGGAUAACAGUGCUAUAUUUUUGGAGAGACCUUAUCGAUAAAAAUGUUUGCAACCUCGAUGUUGAAUUAGAAUGUCUAAAUGAAGCAUAAAGUAUUUAAGAGGGUUUGUUCAACCUUUAAAAUUCUACAU